Molecule: ribosomal RNA, 253 nt
Filed under: uncultured bacterium
Lineage: Bacteria
Description: partial 16S ribosomal RNA
Rfam family: Bacterial small subunit ribosomal RNA
Source: RNAcentral
CACGUAGGGCGCAAGCGUUGUCCGGAAUUAUUGGGCGUAAAGAGCUCGUAGGCGGUCUGUUACGUCUGCUGUGAAAACCCUGGGCUUAACCCUGGGCUUGCAGUGGAUACGGGCAGACUAGAGGCAGGUAGGGGAGAAUGGAAUUCCCGGUGGAGCGGUGAAAUGCGUAGAGAUCCGGAGGAACACCGACGGCGUAGGCAGCGCCCUGGCCGUUUCCUGACGCUGAAGCACGAAAGCUGGGGGAGCAAACAGG